ACCACCCACACACACCACCACGCCCUGUCCCCUUUCUCCACCCUGCAAGCUAGUUGCAUUUACCUCACAGAGCCUGGGCUGCGACUUGAAAGACUUUAGGCAGCAACAGAGUGACCCUGGGGGUGCUCUUGACCGACAGCCGCACCUCCGGCGUCUAGGACCUCCGAGCAGGGAUGCAUCUGGGGGUCUAGGGAAGCACUUCCACCCCCUCCUCUCCUCAACCCUGGCAGGAUGUGCCCGAAAUGCCAGCUCCUCCUUGGUGUUCUCCUUUCAAGAUUUGAAUUCAAAUCCCAUAUUGGCAGCCCUGAUACCGCUGGGGGAAGGGUGAGGCUACCGCUGCUUCAAGACAGUGACGUUUCUCUCCGGUCAGCUGUCAGGAGCGCUGCUGGGUCUUACUGGGGAUCUGGCCAGCCUUGGGGACCCUUGGGGCCCUGGCCCAGUGGAAGCUUGUGCCUGAGGAACAUGGAGGCCACGCCAAUGGUGAGUUAGUGCUGUGGUACAGAAGCAGCCAACCUGUGCCUGCUCAU
Molecule: small RNA, 527 nt
Filed under: Pongo abelii (Sumatran orangutan)
Lineage: Eukaryota; Metazoa; Chordata; Mammalia; Primates; Hominidae
Description: processed transcript
Source: RNAcentral